GCGCGGGGGCCGGCGCGGGGCGGCAGCGGCGGCAGCGGCCGGACAAUGUCGGUGGCGCGGGGCGGUGGGCGCGUGGCCCCUCCCCUCAGCGGGCGCGCGGCGGCGGCGGGAGCGGGAAGAGGCGGCGGCGGCGGCGAGGAGGCGGCGCCUGUGUCGGCGCUGGAGGUUGUGUCCUUCCUGGGGAAGCUGCUGUGCGCAGUCGCGGCGCUGAAGGCGGCUCUGUACCUGCUCCGCAGAGCGUGUCUAGCGAUGGCCUGGAAGUCGGGAGGCGCCAGCCACUCCGAGCUCAUCCACAACCUCCGCAAGAAUGGGAUAAUCAAAUCAGACAAGGUAUUUGAAGUAAUGCUGGCUACAGACCGUUGCCAUUAUGCAAAAUACAACCCUUAUAUGGAUUCUCCUCAGUCUAUAGGUUUCCAAGCAACAAUCAGUGCUCCACAUAUGCAUGCAUAUGCUCUUGAACUUCUGUCUGAUCAGUUACAUGAAGGAGCCAAAGCACUUGAUGUAGGAUCUGGAAGUGGAAUCCUUACAGCAUGCUUUUCACGAAUGGUGGGUCCCAAAGGACAAGUUGUAGGAAUUGAUCAUAUCAAAGAACUAGUAGAUGACUCAAUAAAUAAUGUCAAAAAAGAUGAUCCCACAUUGCUGUCUUCAGGAAGAGUGAAACUGAUUGUGGGAGAUGGAAGAAUGGGAUACGCAGAAGAAGCUCCCUAUGAUGCGAUUCAUGUAGGAGCUGCAGCGCCAGUUGUGCCCCAAGCACUUAUAGAUCAGUUAAAACCUGGCGGAAGAUUGAUAUUACCAGUUGGUCCUGCAGGGGGAAACCAGAUGCUCGAACAGUAUGACAAACUAGAAGAUGGCAGUGUCAAAAUGAAGCCUCUGAUGGGAGUGAUAUAUGUGCCUUUAACAGAUAAAGAGAAGCAGUGGUCCAGGUGGAAGUGAUUUUCUGUUCCACUUACUUCUUCCACACACACACAAGGUGAAAGGGUGUGAAUUUUAAGCAGAUAGACUGCAAGGCCUGCCUUUGCUGCUGUCAUUGCUUUCUGCUCCUCCAUACCAUGACAAGUGACUCAGUCUGCAUUACUACAUCACCAAAAGGAGGUUAUGCUAAGUUUGAGUUAAUUUAAAAGCAGAAGAAAAAUAUUGCAUGUAUUGCACUUUGUCUCUUUCAGACAUGUUUUAUUUAGUCCUUAGUGUGUUGAAGUUUCUUAUUUGUUGUUUUGAACAGAGUUUUUUAUUGUUUUGUUGGUUUUUUUUAGAUUUAAACUUCCCCUUUAAUGAACUUUUUAUAAGUAGCUCGCCCAGUAAUUAGGGUGAAGUGUAAAAUACUACUUCAGAAUAAAUAUUGUUUUGUCCUGUAAGUUAGUGGUAAUUGGGGUGUCUUUUUGGUUGUUUUUUUUUCUGAAGUGUCACAAAUGAAGAAAAAUCUUUGUGAAGUCUUUUGUGAGAAAUACACAUAAUCUUGAGAGCACUUUUCCCUCAGCACCAAGUAGCAGAAAGUGGAGAAGGUAAUCCCUUCUCCCCUAGAGUAUAAGUAUAGUUGAGUAGUGUUUGGAAAUUUUUCUCAGACACGUUAUUAGAAGUCUGUCAUUGUCUCUGAUGGGGACAUAUUUGUGUUUGCCAACACAGCAAACUCUAAAAGCCUUUCUAGGGGUAGUAAGCCUUCCAAUUUGCUGAGUUGAAUGGCCAGUAACACAGACAUAACACAGCUGUCAGCUUAAACCACGCUAGGCAUUAGUAUGCAAAUGAACAAAGCAGCAGUCCUGGUUUGCUUCCUGGCAGAAAAGGCUUGUGAACGUAUUGUGUGUGUAAGUGAAGUGCAUAGAUGUGUACUGAGUUCUGAAAGCGACUCCUGAGCUUUAUAACUCCUAAAUUUAGAAUUUUAUUUUUUUUCCCCUUGAUAUUCUACAGUACUGCUUCUGGUUCAGAUACAUGAACACUUAGAGUUUAGGUUAUCCAAAUGUCCAUUCUGAGUACAAACAAAGCAGUUUGCAUUACUGCUGCUUACUCAAACAUCAUUUCAGCGUUUCUUGGAUUACUGUAUAGCCACCAUGUACAAAUUACUCUUAGAAUGACUUUAAUGAGUUACUGCUUAGUUCAAAGCUUGUGAUGCAUGCUUGUUAUUCAGAUGUUUUGUAUUUGUUAUGCAAAUUAAUAUUUUGCCCUCGAAUAUUGCCAGUAUUCCCUCAGGGUGGUUUCCUGCCUCUUGUAAGGCUUUGGAAGUUUUGCUUUGUGGUUGGUUUCCUCCUCUUGCAAAUUUGGUGGACUUCAUUCAAGUUUGGAGUCCGUAUGUUCUGUUUCCUCUAGAAAAGAGAAGUGUUCUUCUUAAGCCUUUCUCCAGAGAGGUUUUACAGAUAUUUUUUUUCUGAAUUUCCACCUGAUCUGAUUAUAAUAGCAAUUGUUUUGGUUUUGUUGUUUGAGGGGUUUUUUGUAGCAGCAAUAUGUGUUCAAUAAACACAAUUUAUAAGAAGAGUUUCUGGAGUGGCAGUGGUUAUCCUUUGCUGCUGCUGAAGGUGGUGUAGUGUAUUAAGGACUAGAAUUCUAAGGUCUUUGCGUCUGUUCUGUGCAGUUUUGUACUCUUUUCUCUGCUAGCUCAGGAAGAAGUAAUAAGUUAUCUUUGAGCCUUCUUCAGUCAUGAGUAUUGUAGGGUUCUUUUCCCCAGAUUUUCUUACCAGUUUCUGUUGUUUUCUGAAAUACUUCUAGAUUUUUAUUUUUAAUUUAAAUGUUAAGAAUAUCCACUGGUCUUGUCAGAAGAGGUAAAUGCUUAGCCUGAAAGGUUACCUUGAUCACUAGAGUGACACAGAGGCUGUUUCUUGCUAUGUACAUUUAAAUUUGGUUCUGACUUGGAAAUCUCUGUUAAAGGAAAUCUCAGAAGUCCACUUCUUGUAAUGUUUGUGUUUUCUUUAAUUGUCCUUUUUGUGAUCUGAAAAAAAAUUCCAUUCCCUUUUCAGUGAUAGUUGCCAGUCCACUGCUGACCUUACAGGAGUUCACAUCUGUCUUUUUUUUGUUGUUUUUCCCUUCUGGUGAGUCCAAAGGAAACUCCUAAUUAUAAGUCAGCAGUUCUUAUUGAUGCUAGCAUCAAAGAUGAAAGAGGUAUUUUCCUAAUGCAGAUAACAGUUUCAUCACAUUAAGUAUUGGUGUCCCUUCACGAAAUACAAUCAAUAGGCCAGCAGUAUUUUCCUAGGCUAGCAGACCUUCCAGUUGGCCAGAAAGAAGGUGCUUAAAUUUUUGCUUAGCCAUUCACGUGUUGGAGAAGUUGGUUCUGCUCCUUACCAGGGCUGCGAGGUGCCCCUUACAAACCAACGCAGCAGUUACUUGAUCUCCAAGCGGUGUUUGAGGUCAAACCUACCUUCAGAUGUUUUGCAUCAUCCAUCACUAUGUAGAACUGGAACUUUGAGCAAAAGAAAAACAGGACUAGCUGGAAGGAAAAGACGCCUUGGAUUUCAAUAAAUUGAUGUGGUGUUAAAUAAAGAAUCUUAUUUUGUGAAUAUUGUUGACUAAAUUUAAAGAAAUCCAGUAACUUUCUAGCUCGGGUUCAGCUGCAGUAGUGGUUCAGCGGCAGUAGUAUUUUUAAGCUCCAAAUAUUAGUGGGAAUCUUCUCAAAUGUGACUCCAUGGGACAUUUGGAAGUAGAAUAUACAAAGGAACCGUAUCUCUGGUACAAAAUGAAAUACAUUAGUAUACCAGAGAUCCAGCAGUAGGUAAAUGCUACUCGUGAUUAUGCUGGUAAGUGUGUUUAUGCUUUCACAUAAAACUUCCCAGUAUUUUUUUUUUUUUCUUGCUGAUAAGUAGGGAGGAGAAAAGAACUUUUUGCUGCACAGUUGAGAAGACAACUUAUUGGCUACGUUAUUGAUGAAUGAUGUAUCCAAAAGGGAAAGUCAAAUGCUGCCUAAUGACAAGAAAAUUGAAGUGGAUCAAAAAGAGGAUGAAUUGUAAAAGCUACAUCAUCUUGACCCAAACAUAGUGUUACAGUGGACUGCUCAUCUCCAGUUCUAAAAGCUUUUUGAAAACCAACAGCAUUGCAGCUUGUUUUGGACUUCAUUAUACUGUUAUCAGCAUGGAAAAGCGUGGUGUUUGUUUUAUUUUUUUAGAUGCUCAAGGCAAAUCCGAUAAAGAAAUGGUGGAAAGUUU
Strigops habroptila (Kakapo) is the source of this 4121-nucleotide RNA transcript. It is a transcript of the gene named protein-L-isoaspartate (D-aspartate) O-methyltransferase, with no coding region annotated. Lineage: Eukaryota; Metazoa; Chordata; Aves; Psittaciformes; Psittacidae. The record is from RefSeq and is a predicted model, not a curated record. The transcript has 9 exons.